CAAAACCAAGAGAUGACAGCGUACCCGGAAUCCCCGACGACGAAACAAGGCGCCGCCGAAAACGACGUGUCCAGCGGGCAGCGGCAGGAGUCCAGCCGGCAGCCAAGGCCGAGUGGUCCCUAUAAGAGCGGCCGCCAGCGCUCCGCACAGUAGUCUCUGCAGUCCGCGCAGCACACACGCAUCUCAGAACACCAUGAAGGCUUUCGUGUGCUCUUUCCUCGUAGUCCUGCUGGUGGCGGCCGUGUUCGCCCAGGAGAAGGCCAAGGAGGCCCUGAAGGGCGCUGAGGCCUACUACGCCUACGCCGCCCCCUACGCCUACAGCGCCUUCGGCUACCCCGCCGUCAGCACCUACUCCGCCUACCCUUACGCUGCCGCCGGCUACCCCUACUACUACCGCUAAGAAGACACAAAUUCUGACAUGAUGCCUCCUGUACUGAUUCUUCUGUUUGUCUCUUUUCUCUAAAUACAACUCUAUCACAAAACAAAAA
Molecule: long non-coding RNA, 488 nt
Filed under: Schistocerca americana (American grasshopper)
Lineage: Eukaryota; Metazoa; Arthropoda; Insecta; Orthoptera; Acrididae
Description: uncharacterized LOC124606975
Source: RNAcentral